Molecule: non-coding RNA, 29 nt
Filed under: Rattus norvegicus (Norway rat)
Lineage: Eukaryota; Metazoa; Chordata; Mammalia; Rodentia; Muridae
Source: RNAcentral
UGUCUGGAUGGACAAGUUCAAUUUUUGUG